Prolemur simus (greater bamboo lemur) is the source of this 100-nucleotide unclassified non-coding RNA. It matches the Rfam family "Y RNA". From Rfam's summary of the family: Y RNAs are components of the Ro ribonucleoprotein particle (Ro RNP), in association with Ro60 and La proteins. The Y RNAs and Ro60 and La proteins are well conserved, but the function of the Ro RNP is not known. In humans the RNA component can be one of four small RNAs -- hY1, hY3, hY4 and hY5. NCBI's taxonomy places the organism in Eukaryota, Metazoa, Chordata, Mammalia, Primates, Lemuridae. The record is from Ensembl.
GGUUAGUCCCAGUGCAGUGGUGUUUACAACUAAUCGAUCACAACAAGUUAUAGAUUCCUUUGUUCCUUCUCCACUCCCACUGCUUCACUUGACCAGAAAA